AAGACCUUUAAAAACAGUCCCGUGAGGCUGAAAAGGUGACGGUUUAUACACAGGUGAUGUGUAUAGGAACCCCUUUUCUGCCUUUAUGCGAGAAAGGGGUUUUUUGU
This is a regulatory RNA element of Halobacillus karajensis, 107 nucleotides long. It matches the Rfam family "PyrR binding site". Rfam says of the family: This family represents the PyrR binding site and terminator structure. This RNA structure is found upstream of a variety of genes involved in pyrimidine biosynthesis and transport. The alignment also includes a portion of the antiterminator structure. The record is from Rfam. Lineage: Bacteria; Bacillati; Bacillota; Bacilli; Caryophanales; Bacillaceae.